Molecule: small RNA, 52 nt
Organism: Roseovarius indicus
Lineage: Bacteria; Pseudomonadati; Pseudomonadota; Alphaproteobacteria; Rhodobacterales; Roseobacteraceae
Rfam family: ffh sRNA
Source: Rfam
CAUGCCCGGGAUCGCCCCCCACCAGCGAGUUUCGCCCGUGGGGGCGUUUAUG